This is a long non-coding RNA of Saccostrea cuccullata (small rock oyster), 204 nucleotides long. RefSeq lists it as uncharacterized. The transcript is spliced from 3 exons. Lineage: Eukaryota; Metazoa; Mollusca; Bivalvia; Ostreida; Ostreidae. The record is from RefSeq and is a predicted model, not a curated record.
CUGAAAAAACUUAUCCCCUUCUCUUUUCCUCUUGCAUUGUCUCGAUUAGUACACAUGUACACACUGCAACUACGCACCAUUCGUGAAUUAAACGUGUUACAUAGGCUGAAAGAAGCGUUUUCGUUAAAAUGAAACUUUGCCGUGCGGAAUUGUUUAUGCGGGUGUAGGGUGAGCAGGUCCGCAGUUACCGUGAAGGACCUUAUU